GACGAACGCUGGCGGCGUGCCUAAUACAUGCAAGUCGAACGCACAGUUUAUACCGUGGCUUGCUACACCAUAGACUGUGAGUUGCGAACGGGUGAGUAACGCGUAGGUAACCUGCCUGGUAGCGGGGGAUAACUAUUGGAAACGAUAGCUAAUACCGCAUAAUAUUGAUUAUUGCAUGAUAAUUGAUUGAAAGAUGCUAUUGCAUCACUACCAGAUGGACCUGCGUUGUAUUAGCUAGUAGGUGAGGUAACGGCUCACCUAGGCGACGAUACAUAGCCGACCUGAGAGGGUGAUCGGCCACACUGGGACUGAGACACGGCCCAGACUCCUACGGGAGGCAGCAGUAGGGAAUCUUCGGCAAUGGACGAAAGUCUGACCGAGCAACGCCGCGUGAGUGAAGAAGGUUUUCGGAUCGUAAAGCUCUGUUGUAAGAGAAGAACGGGUGUGAGAGUGGAAAGUUCACACUGUGACGGUAUCUUACCAGAAAGGGACGGCUAACUACGUG
This 505-nucleotide ribosomal RNA is filed under the name uncultured bacterium. RNAcentral's name for it is "partial 16S ribosomal RNA". It matches the Rfam family "Bacterial small subunit ribosomal RNA", at positions 28 to 507 of the family's 1533-position model. The record is from RNAcentral.